This 438-nucleotide long non-coding RNA is filed under the name Monodelphis domestica (gray short-tailed opossum). Its description in RNAcentral is "lncRNA (ENSMODG00000038014.1)". The record is from RNAcentral. Lineage: Eukaryota; Metazoa; Chordata; Mammalia; Didelphimorphia; Didelphidae.
UGUGAAUAAGUGAGUAAGCCACUUUGAUUCUUUGGAACUAAUUUUCCUCAUUUGUAAAAAUGAGGAGCUGAGACGAGAUUAGGAAGGGAAAAAGUAUUAUACCUACACAUUCACUAACCUUAACUGAAUGUAGCAUUUCCUACAAUUUAAAGACAGGAUUCUGAAAUGUCCAUACAUUUCACUGGAUUGGCAAAAUUGUCCAUGACACAAAGAGAUGAAGAACUGUGCUACUAGAUGGUGGCUGAUGUCCCUUCUAACUUUCGACCUAUGAUCUGUAGGGGAACUUGGUUAGCAAGAGAAGUUAUCAAAGGAAUAUGGUGGCAAGGCAAAUGCAUUGGUUUAUGGACCUUUGUAAAGAUCAUCAUUCAGAGUUGUCAGAAGACUUCAAUGACCCUGGAGGAAAGAAUGAGGCUGAUGACUUCAUGCAAGUCUGACUAA